UUGAGGUACUCUUCUUUCCAUCGCAC
This 26-nucleotide non-coding RNA is filed under the name Drosophila melanogaster (fruit fly). The record is from RNAcentral. Lineage: Eukaryota; Metazoa; Arthropoda; Insecta; Diptera; Drosophilidae.